RNAcentral lists this ribosomal RNA (310 nucleotides) under uncultured Enterobacter sp. RNAcentral's name for it is "bacterial SSU rRNA". It matches the Rfam family "Bacterial small subunit ribosomal RNA", at positions 505 to 815 of the family's 1533-position model. The record is from RNAcentral. Lineage: Bacteria; Pseudomonadati; Pseudomonadota; Gammaproteobacteria; Enterobacterales; Enterobacteriaceae.
GUGCCAGCCGCUGCGGUAAUACGGAGGGUGCAAGCGUUAAUCGGAAUUACUGGGCGUAAAGCGCACGCAGGCGGUCUGUCAAGUCGGAUGUGAAAUCCCCGGGCUCAACCUGGGAACUGCAUUCGAAACUGGCAGGCUAGAGUCUUGUAGAGGGGGGUAGAAUUCCAGGUGUAGCGGUGAAAUGCGUAGAGAUCUGGAGGAUACCGGUGGCGAAGGCGGCCCCUGGACAAAAGACUGACGCUCAGGUGCGAAAGCGUGGGGAGCAAACAGGAUUAGAUACCCUGGUAGUCCACGCCGUAAACGAUGUCGA